UCGAACGAGCUCUUCGGAGCUAGUGGCAGACGGGUGAGUAACGCGUGGGAAUCUACCCAGUUCUCUGGAAUAACUGAUGGAAACGUCAGCUAAUACCGGAUACGCCCUUUUGGGGAAAGAUUUAUCGGGAUUGGAUGAGCCCGCGUAAGAUUAGCUAGUUGGUGGGGUAACGGCCUACCAAGGCGACGAUCUUUAGCUGGUCUGAGAGGAUGAUCAGCCACACUGGGACUGAGACACGGCCCAGACUCCUACGGGAGGCAGCAGUGGGGAAUAUUGGACAAUGGGGGCAACCCUGAUCCAGCCAUGCCGCGUGAGUGAUGAAGGCCUUAGGGUUGUAAAGCUCUUUCACCGGUGAAGAUAAUGACGGUAACCGGAGAAGAAGCCCCGGCUAACUUCGUGCCAGCAGCCGCGGUAAUACGAAGGGGGCUAGCGUUGUUCGGAAUUACUGGGCGUAAAGCGCACGUAGGCGGAUAUUUAAGUCAGGGGUGAAAUCCCGGAGCUCAACUCCGGAACUGCCUUUGAUACUGGAUAUCUAGAGACCGAGAGAGGUAAGUGGAACUCCUAGUGUAGAGGUGGAAUUCGUAGAUAUUAGGAAGAACACCAGUGGCGAAGGCGGCUUACUGGCUCGGAACUGACGCUGAGGUGCGAAAGCGUGAGGAGCAAACAGGAUUAGAUACCCUGGUAGUCCACGCCGUACACUAUGAGAGCUAGCCGUUGGGGUGUUUACACUUCAGUGGCGCAUCUAACGCAUUAAGCUCUCCGCCUGGGGAGUAC
RNAcentral lists this ribosomal RNA (774 nucleotides) under uncultured bacterium. Its description in RNAcentral is "bacterial SSU rRNA". It matches the Rfam family "Bacterial small subunit ribosomal RNA", at positions 62 to 883 of the family's 1533-position model. The record is from RNAcentral.